RNAcentral lists this ribosomal RNA (468 nucleotides) under uncultured bacterium. RNAcentral describes it as "partial 16S ribosomal RNA". It matches the Rfam family "Bacterial small subunit ribosomal RNA", at positions 28 to 507 of the family's 1533-position model. The record is from RNAcentral.
GACGAACGCUGGCGGCGUGCUUAACACAUGCAAGUCGAACGGAAAGGCCCUGCUUUUGUGGGGUUCUCGAGUGGCGAACGGGUGAGUAACACGUGAGUAACCGGCUCUUGACUUUGGGAUAACUUCAGGAAACUGGGGCUAAUACCGGAUAGGAUCUCCUCCUCCAUGGAGGGGGUUGGAUAUUUUCGGCGGUUGGGGAUGGACUCGCGGCUUAUCAGCUUGUUGGUGGGGGAGUGGCUUACCAAGGCUUUGACGGGUAGCCGGCAUGAGAGGGUGACCGGGCACAUUGGGACUGAGAUACGGACCAGACUGCUACGGGAGGCAGCAGUGGGGAAUAUUGCACAAUGGGCGGGAGUCUGAUGCAGAAACGCCGCGGUCGGGAUGACGGCCUUCGGGUUGUAAACCGCUUUCGCCUGUGACGAAGCGUGAGUGACGGUAAUGGGUAAAGAAGCACCGGCUAACUACGUG